This is a long non-coding RNA of Triplophysa rosa, 201 nucleotides long. RefSeq lists it as uncharacterized. The record is from RefSeq and is a predicted model, not a curated record. The transcript has 3 exons. Lineage: Eukaryota; Metazoa; Chordata; Actinopteri; Cypriniformes; Nemacheilidae.
UGCAGUACAUACAGACGCAAUAAAUGGCACUGGGUGUGAUCAGUAGGGAAAGUGGCGUAUUGGAGGACGGAUGUUUUUGCACCUCUGUGGCACAAGGCGGCAGCAGCGGCUUGCAAGUCUCGCGACAGUGGAGUGGAGGGGAGAAGAAUCUAAACCGGAAGUGUACAUAACCAGCUGAGGAGAUAAACGUGCAUUAACGGA